CAUAAUGCAGCGGCACCGCAAGGUGACAGUUGUUAAAGAUUUAUCGCUUGAGGAGGAGCUUGCGGCAGAUUAGCUAGUUGGUAAGGUAAUGGCUUACCAAGGCUACGAUCUGUAACCGGUCUAAGAGGACGGUCGGUCACACUGACACUGAAUAACGGGUCAGACUCCUACGGGAGGCAGCAGUCGGGAAUUUUGGGCAAUGGGCGAAAGCCUGACCCAGCAACGCCGCGUGAAGGAUGAAGUAUUUCGGUAUGUAAACUUCGAAAGAAUGGGAAGAAUCAAUGACGGUACCAUUUAUAAGGUCCGGCUAACUACGUGCCAGCAGCCGCGGUAAUACGUAGGGACCAAGCGUUGUUCGGAUUUACUGGGCGUAAAGGGCGCGUAGGCGGCUUGUCAAGUCGAAAUCUCUGGGCUUAACCCAGAACGG
RNAcentral lists this ribosomal RNA (427 nucleotides) under uncultured bacterium. Its description in RNAcentral is "bacterial SSU rRNA". It matches the Rfam family "Bacterial small subunit ribosomal RNA", at positions 172 to 622 of the family's 1533-position model. The record is from RNAcentral.